This 233-nucleotide small nuclear RNA is filed under the name Alligator mississippiensis (American alligator). RNAcentral describes it as "U1 spliceosomal RNA". It matches the Rfam family "U1 spliceosomal RNA". From Rfam's summary of the family: U1 is a small nuclear RNA (snRNA) component of the spliceosome (involved in pre-mRNA splicing). Its 5' end forms complementary base pairs with the 5' splice junction, thus defining the 5' donor site of an intron. There are significant differences in sequence and secondary structure between metazoan and yeast U1 snRNAs, the latter being much longer (568 nucleotides as compared to 164 nucleotides in human). Lineage: Eukaryota; Metazoa; Chordata; Crocodylia; Alligatoridae. The record is from Rfam by way of RNAcentral.
CAGCUUACCUGGCAGGGGAGACAUGAUGAUCAACCACAUGGUUUUCCGAGGGUGAGGCCUGCCCUUUGCACUCCAGGCAGGCUGACCCCUGAAAUUUCCCCAAGGCAGUUUUCCCAGGGUGAGACCUGUCCAUUGCACUAUGGGCAGGUUGACCCCUGUGAGUUCCCCUGGAUGUGGGAAACUCGACUACACAAUUUUGUGGCAACGGGGAGCUGUGUUCACACUUCUCCCAU